This 253-nucleotide ribosomal RNA is filed under the name uncultured bacterium. RNAcentral's name for it is "partial 16S ribosomal RNA". It matches the Rfam family "Bacterial small subunit ribosomal RNA", at positions 524 to 776 of the family's 1533-position model. The record is from RNAcentral.
UACGGAGGGGGCUAGCGUUAUUCGGAAUUACUGGGCGUAAAGCGCACGUAGGCGGCUUUGUAAGUCAGAGGUGAAAGCCUGGAGCUCAACUCCAGAACUGCCUUUGAGACUGCAUCACUUGAAUCCAGGAGAGGUGAGUGGAAUCCCGAGUGUAGAGGUGAAAUUCGUAGAUAUUCGGAAGAACACCAGUGGCGAAGGCGGCUCACUGGACUGGUAUUGACGCUGAGGUGCGAAAGCGUGGGGAGCAAACAGG